RNAcentral lists this microRNA precursor (51 nucleotides) under Podarcis lilfordi (Lilford's wall lizard). Lineage: Eukaryota; Metazoa; Chordata; Lepidosauria; Squamata; Lacertidae. The record is from RNAcentral.
UAAUGAUGAUGAUGUUGAUGAUGAUGAUAAUCAUCAUCAUCAUCAGUGUUU